Molecule: ribosomal RNA, 385 nt
Filed under: uncultured bacterium
Lineage: Bacteria
Description: bacterial SSU rRNA
Rfam family: Bacterial small subunit ribosomal RNA
Source: RNAcentral
UGGGGAAUUUUACACAAUGGGCGAAAGCCUGAUGUAGCAACGCCGCGUGGAGGAUGACGGAUUUAGGUCUGUAAACUCCUUUUAUAGGGGAAGAAAUUUGACGGUACCCUAUGAAUAAGCACCGGCUAACUCCGUGCCAGCAGCCGCGGUAAUACGGGGGGUGCAAGCGUUACUCGGAAUCACUGGGCGUAAAGGGAGCGUAGGCGUUCUAUUAAGUCUUGAGUGAAAGCCCGCAGCCUAACUGCGGAACUGCUCAGGAAACUGAUAGAAUUGAGUAUGGAAGAGGUAGGUGGAAUUUCCAGUGUAGGGGUAAAAUCCGUAGAUAUUGGAAGGAAUACCAGAAGCGAAGGCGACCUACUGGGACAUUACUGACGCUGAGGCUCGA